CAAAAACAUCUCUUCUUGUGAAUUUUUUGAAGUAUAGUCUGCCCACUGAUUUUAUUGAAGGGCCGCGGUAUUUUGACCGUGCAAAGGUAGCAUAAUCAUUAGUCCUUUAAUUGUGGACUGGUAUGAAUGGCUUGACGAGACACUAUCUGUCUUUUUUAGGUUUUGUUGAAUUUGGAUUUUGGGUAAAAAUACCUAAAUUUUGUUGUGGGACGAGAAGACCCUAUAGAGUUUUAUGUAGUUUUUUUUCUUUGGUUUGAUUUAGUUUUAUUAAGUUUUACUGCAUUUUGUUGGGGUGAUGGGAAAAUAAUUGAACUUUUCCUUUUUUCAAUUCACUUAUUUGUGUUUCUAUGAUCCUUUAUUAUUGAUUGUAAGAUUAAAUUACCUUAGGGAUAACAGCGUAAUCUUUUUUGAGAGUUCUUAUUGACAAAAGGGUUUGCGACCUCGAUGUUGGAUUAGGAUGAAUUUUGG
RNAcentral lists this ribosomal RNA (468 nucleotides) under Neotermes sp. ENT-MG360. Its description in RNAcentral is "partial small subunit ribosomal RNA". It matches the Rfam family "Bacterial large subunit ribosomal RNA", at positions 1808 to 2550 of the family's 2925-position model. Lineage: Eukaryota; Metazoa; Arthropoda; Insecta; Blattodea; Kalotermitidae. The record is from RNAcentral.